RNAcentral lists this transfer RNA (71 nucleotides) under Candidatus Kaiserbacteria bacterium. RNAcentral describes it as "tRNA-Gln". It matches the Rfam family "tRNA". Rfam says of the family: Transfer RNA (tRNA) molecules are approximately 80 nucleotides in length. Their secondary structure includes four short double-helical elements and three loops (D, anti-codon, and T loops). Further hydrogen bonds mediate the characteristic L-shaped molecular structure. tRNAs have two regions of fundamental functional importance: the anti-codon, which is responsible for specific mRNA codon recognition, and the 3' end, to which the tRNAs corresponding amino acid is attached (by aminoacyl-tRNA synthetases). tRNAs cope with the degeneracy of the genetic code in two manners: having more than one tRNA (with a specific anti-codon) for a particular amino acid; and 'wobble' base-pairing, i.e. permitting non-standard base-pairing at the 3rd anti-codon position. Lineage: Bacteria; Candidatus Kaiseribacteriota. The record is from RNAcentral.
UGGGGGAUCGUCUAAUGGUAGGACUGCGCCCUUUGGAGGCGCCUAUCUUGGUUCGAAUCCAAGUCCCCCAG